UUGAUCCUGCCGGAGGUUACUGCUAUCGAGGUUCGACUAAGCCAUGCGAGUCGAAUGUAGCAAUACAUGGCGUACUGCUCAGUAACACGUGGACAACCUACCCUUAGGUCGGGGAUAAACCCGGGAAACUGGGUAUAAUACCCGAUAGAUCUCGGCUGCUGGAAUGCACCGAGCUCUAAAGCUCCGGCGCCUAAGGAUGGGUCUGCGGCCUAUCAGGUAGUAGUGGGUGUAGCGUACCUACUAGCCUACGACGGGUACGGGUUGUAAGAGCAAGAGCCCGGAGAUGGAUUCUGAGACACGAAUCCAGGCCCUACGGGGUGCAGCAGGCGCGAAAACUUUACAAUGCUGGAAACAGCGAUAAGGGGACCUCGAGUGCCAGGUUACAAAUCUGGCUGUCGUGAUGCCUAAAAAGCAUUGCAUAGCAAGGGCCGGGCAAGACCGGUGCCAGCCGCCGCGGUAACACCGGCGGCUCGAGUGGUAACCGUUAUUAUUGGGUCUAAAGGGUCUGUAGCCGGCCGGAUAAGUCUCUUGGGAAAUCCAGCAGCUUAACUGUUGGGCUUUCAGGAGAUACUGUCUGGCUCGAGGCCGGGAGAGGUGAGAGGUACUUCAGGGGUAGGGGUGAAAUCUUGUAAUCCUUGAAGGACCACCAGUGGCGAAGGCGUCUCACCAGAACGGACCUGACGGCAAGGGACGAAAGCUAGGGGCACGAACCGGAUUAGAUACC
Molecule: ribosomal RNA, 724 nt
Filed under: uncultured euryarchaeote
Lineage: Archaea; Methanobacteriati; Methanobacteriota
Description: bacterial SSU rRNA
Rfam family: Archaeal small subunit ribosomal RNA
Source: RNAcentral